This 400-nucleotide ribosomal RNA is filed under the name uncultured bacterium. RNAcentral's name for it is "bacterial SSU rRNA". It matches the Rfam family "Bacterial small subunit ribosomal RNA", at positions 105 to 483 of the family's 1533-position model. The record is from RNAcentral.
GGUGAGUAACGCGUGGGCAACCUGCCUAUUAGUGGGGGAUAACAGUUGGAAACGACUGCUAAUACCGCAUAAGCUGUCUAAUCUGCAUGGAUUGGAUAGGGAAGAUGGCCUCUGAAUAUGCUAUCGCUAAUAGAUGGGCCCGCGUCUGAUUAGCUAGUUGGUGGGGUAACGGCCUACCAAGGCUGCGAUCAGUAGCCGGCCUGAGAGGGUGGACGGCCACACUGGGACUGAGACACGGCCCAGACUCCUACGGGAGGCAGCAGUGGGGAAUAUUGCGCAAUGGGGGAAACCCUGACGCAGCGACGCCGCGUGAGCGAUGAAGGCUUUAGGGUCGUAAAGCUCUGUUGUAAGGGAAGAAUGUCGAGAGUGAUAAUACCACUUUCGAAUGACGGUACCUUAC